AUGCUGAACUUCACUGGGAGCUCUGAGUUUUGGGCUCCCGGCAUUUUCUUUGUUCUCCACAAGGGGUGGCUCCACUGCAUAGGUCGCUGUACAGGAAGCGCAAGUUGCUCCUGCAGGCGAAGUGGACUUCAGAGGAAGUGGAAGUUGCUCCAGCAUUUUUUUUCUGUUCUCACAAAGCCCUUCUGGCCAAACUGCAUCUACGCAGGGGGAGAGGCAGAUUCUUGCCAGCGAACUGCAAGGCCAACCUUAGUUUCUGUUCAAUACACAAUCAAAAUCAAAAUCAAGGGGCGGCCGCAAGUGAACAUACAGCAACGCAGAAGUUAA
RNAcentral lists this ribosomal RNA (324 nucleotides) under Triticum aestivum (bread wheat). RNAcentral's name for it is "partial small subunit ribosomal RNA". The record is from RNAcentral. Lineage: Eukaryota; Viridiplantae; Streptophyta; Magnoliopsida; Poales; Poaceae.